CAGUCGCCACGGGAAUACGGAGGAUGCAAGCGUUAUUCGGAAUGAUUGGGCGUAAAGCGUCUGUAGGUGGCUUUUCAAGUCCGCCGUCAGAUCCCCGGGCUGAACCCUAGACAGGCGGUGGAAACUACCAAGCUGGAGUACGGUAGGGGCAGAGGGAACUUCCGGUGGAGCGGUGAAAUGCGUUGAGAUCGGAAGGAACGCCCGUGGCGAAAGCGAGGUCCUGGACGUCUGCUGACGCUGAGACGCGAAAGCCAGGGGAGCGAACGGGAUUAGAUACCCCUGUAGUCCCUGUCUCUUAUAC
Molecule: ribosomal RNA, 301 nt
Filed under: uncultured bacterium
Lineage: Bacteria
Description: partial 16S ribosomal RNA
Rfam family: Bacterial small subunit ribosomal RNA
Source: RNAcentral